GACAACUUUUAACGGUGGAUCUCUUGGCUCGUGCAUCGAUGAAGAACGCAGCCAGGUGCGAUAAGUAGUGUGAAUUGCAGAAUUCAGUGAAUCAUCGAAUAUUUGAACGCAAAUGGCGCUCUUGGGUUCUCCCAGGAGCAUGCCUGUCUGAGUGUCGG
This 158-nucleotide ribosomal RNA is filed under the name Microzoanthus kagerou. RNAcentral's name for it is "5.8S ribosomal RNA". It matches the Rfam family "5.8S ribosomal RNA". Rfam says of the family: 5.8S ribosomal RNA (5.8S rRNA) is a component of the large subunit of the eukaryotic ribosome. It is transcribed by RNA polymerase I as part of the 45S precursor that also contains 18S and 28S rRNA. The record is from RNAcentral. Lineage: Eukaryota; Metazoa; Cnidaria; Anthozoa; Zoantharia; Microzoanthidae.